Molecule: ribosomal RNA, 480 nt
Filed under: uncultured bacterium
Lineage: Bacteria
Description: bacterial SSU rRNA
Rfam family: Bacterial small subunit ribosomal RNA
Source: RNAcentral
GACGAACGCUGGCGGCGUGCCUAACACAUGCAAGUCGAACGAGGUCCAUCCUUCGGGAGAAGACCUAGUGGCGAACGGGUGAGUAACACGUGAAGAACCUGCCCCGAAGACCGGGAUAACCCUCCGAAAGGAGAGCUAAUACCGGAUACCCCCACCGAACCGCAUGGUUUGGUGAGGAAAUGGAUUCCGCUUCGGGAGGGCUUCGCGGCCUAUCAGCUAGUUGGUGGGGUAACGGCCCACCAAGGCAUCGACGGGUAGCUGGUCUGAGAGGACGAUCAGCCACACUGGGACUGAGACACGGCCCAGACUCCUACGGGAGGCAGCAGUGGGGGAAUCUUGCGCAAUGGGCGAAAGCCUGACGCAGCAACGCCGCGUGGGGGAUGAAGGCUCUCGGGUUGUAAACCCCUUUCAGCAGGGACGAAUCAAGACGGUACCUGCAGAAGAAGCCCCGGCUAACUACGUGCCAGCAGCCGCGGUAAU